Pteropus alecto (black flying fox) is the source of this 74-nucleotide non-coding RNA. NCBI's taxonomy places the organism in Eukaryota, Metazoa, Chordata, Mammalia, Chiroptera, Pteropodidae. The record is from Rfam.
GGCUCCAUAGUGUAGUGGUUAGCACCUCUGCUUUACAUGCAGAGGGUCCUGGGUUUGAACCCCAGGUGGAGCCA